AACACGUAUGCAACCUGGCCGUGACAGAUGGCUAUCCGGGAGAAAUCCCGCCUAAUACAACAUAAUGCCGGGAGGGGACAUCCCCUGCCGGUCAAAGGGGGCGACCCCGGUCACGGAUGGGCAUGCGGCGCAUUAGGUAGUUGGUGGGGCAACGGCCCACCAAGCCGACGAUGCGUAGGGGUUCUGAGAGGAAGGUCCCCCACAUUGGAACUGAGACACGGUCCAAACUCCUACGGGAGGCAGCAGUGAGGAAUAUUGGUCAAUGGCCGGAAGGCUGAACCAGCCAAGUCGCGUGAGGGAAUAAGGCCCUACGGGUCGUAAACCUCUUUUGCCAGGGAGCAAUGCCGUCCACGUGUGGACGGAAGGAGAGUACCUGGAGAAAAAGCAUCGGCUAACUCCGUGCCAGCAGCCGCGGUAAUACGGAGGAUGCGAGCGUUAUCCGGAUUUAUUGGGUUUAAAGGGUGCGUAGGCGGCCUGCCAAGUCAGCGGUAAAAUUGCGGGGCUCAACCCCGUACAGCCGUUGAAACUGCCGGGCUCGAGU
This 541-nucleotide ribosomal RNA is filed under the name uncultured bacterium. RNAcentral describes it as "bacterial SSU rRNA". It matches the Rfam family "Bacterial small subunit ribosomal RNA", at positions 112 to 647 of the family's 1533-position model. The record is from RNAcentral.